CAGUUUUUAGUGCAUGUGUCAAUAUCAAUGACACCUCUAUUUUGUUAUAAUUUUUUUUGUUUGAAAUAUAAUUAUUUUAAUUUAUAAUUAAAAAAAUGGUUAUUGUGGUAUUUUAAUUGAAAAUAUUAAUUUUAAAAAAAAUUGAAAUUGAUUCAAUAUCUUUAUCUUUCUUAUUUUGAACAACGUAUUCUUGAAUCAAGAUCUCAUCUUCG
RNAcentral lists this long non-coding RNA (212 nucleotides) under Lathyrus oleraceus (garden pea). RNAcentral describes it as "Pisum sativum (pea) long non-coding RNA (PSAT_LNC023948)". Lineage: Eukaryota; Viridiplantae; Streptophyta; Magnoliopsida; Fabales; Fabaceae. The record is from RNAcentral.